UUAUUGAAUUGUUAUUGUCUUAAAUGAUAAUUCCUGGCAAUUUAGAAAGUAAUUGACAGCUAGAGUAGUUGGUUUGUCAUAUUAAAAAAUGAAGGUGUAGUCAGUCAUUUAUCUCCCAAUUGACAUUUUAGAUACACCUGUGUGGUCUUGAUGCAGUUCUAUUCCAUGGGUAAGGCACAUUCCCUUAGGUACCUUUCACAUUAGUCCCAGAAGGAUGGAAUCUGAUUUGAUAUCAGUGAUGUCAUCAUUCUAUCUGUUAUAAUGAUGUGUGUAAGAAAUUGUUAUCAGAAGAGUGUUAUUUUCUUAACAUUAGCUAGGAUGUGGUGCUCUGCUCAUAACUGGCAUAAGGCUGUGCAGACAUAAGCUUGAUUAUACUUUAAGAGGUCCUAGGUUCCAUGUACUUUUUUUUUUUUGGAUUCAGUCUAAUAAAGUGGAAAAAAAACAAAGCUAGCACAGUAAUGAAUAUUACUGCACAAACAUACUCAUCAAUAAAAAAUUGACAUUCUGUUAAUGUAGCAUUGUCCUGGUAUUGGUUUUGUGACUUUUUUUGUAGCAGAUCACUUAUUACAAAGGCAAACAGAUAACAUGAUAAUACACUCAGCUUCUCAUUGUUAUGACACUUAUUGUGUAGGGGAAUAUAGCUCAUAAGUUUCAUGUACUCUUCUGAUUGGAAUGAAUGAUGGGUAGAAAUUGCUCUUGAAAAACAAUUCCCUUUUCAAUAACAACCAGGGAUAGAAUAUGGGCAUCAAUAAUAUCUCUGCUGAGCAGGCACACAUUGAAAUUAUGCUGCCAGUAUAGAUUAAUCAGUUGAACCUUAUGCUGGUUAGGUAGAAACAGUGCUCUAUAUGAUCUGAAGGAAACCGUCCCACUCACUGUGAUAAUAGAGUCAAGGUACCAGGCAGUACUAGCAGGACUAGCAGCUUGAAUGCAGGUGU
Molecule: long non-coding RNA, 935 nt
Organism: Lingula anatina
Lineage: Eukaryota; Metazoa; Brachiopoda; Lingulata; Lingulida; Lingulidae
Source: RefSeq, a predicted model, not a curated record